AAAGUAGCUGUGCUACUUUGCUGACGAGUGGCGGACGGGUGAGUAAUGUCUGGGGAUCUGCCUGAUGGAGGGGGAUAACUACUGGAAACGGUAGCUAAUACCGCAUAAUGUCGCAAGACCAAAGCGGGGGACUUUCGGGCCUCGCACCAUCAGAUGAACCCAGAUGGGAUUAGCUAGUAGGUAGGGUAAUGGCUUACCUAGGCGACGAUCCCUAGCUGGUCUGAGAGGAUGACCAGCCACACUGGAACUGAGACACGGUCCAGACUCCUACGGGAGGCAGCAGUGGGGAAUAUUGCACAAUGGGCGCAAGCCUGAUGCAGCCAUGCCGCGUGUAUGAAGAAGGCCUUCGGGUUGUAAAGUACUUUCAGUCAGGAGGAAGGGUGUGAAAUUAAUACUUUCAUGCAUUGACGUUACUGACAGAAGAAGCACCGGCUAACUCCGUGCCAGCAGCCGCGGUAAUACGGAGGGUGCAAGCGUUAAUCGGAAUUACUGGGCGUAAAGCGCACGCAGGCGGUUUGUUAAGUCAGAUGUGAAAUCCCCGGGCUCAACCUGGGAACUGCAUUUGAAACUGGCAAGCUUGAGUCUUGUAGAGGGGGGUAGAAUUCCAGGUGUAGCGGUGAAAUGCGUAGAGAUCUGGAGGAAUACCGGUGGCGAAGGCGGCCCCCUGGACAAAGACUGACGCUCAGGUGCGAAAGCGUGG
Molecule: ribosomal RNA, 700 nt
Filed under: Enterobacteriaceae bacterium Y4BS2
Lineage: Bacteria; Pseudomonadati; Pseudomonadota; Gammaproteobacteria; Enterobacterales; Enterobacteriaceae
Description: bacterial SSU rRNA
Rfam family: Bacterial small subunit ribosomal RNA
Source: RNAcentral